GGCCGAAGAACGACGGGAGGAGCUCGCGGCGCGCGGCGGCUUGCUCGGCUUUUGGUCUAGGGCAGCAGGAGGUUCUAGGGCAUGGUUUUUACGGUGAAGAUAAAAAAACAACACGCGGGGUUGUUGCUAGCAGCUUUAUAGGAUCAGAUAAGCGCGGAAAGGAGAAACCCCGAGGAAACCGGGAUCGGAUCUCCUUCCGAUCGAGUCCGGAUUGAUUUCGUUCCGGGGAAGAAGAAAAGAGGAGGCUGACGGGUGGGGUCCGGCGGUCAGGGGCAGCAAGCAGAGAGGAGAGGCACGCUGCGGGCCUGGGCUGCGCGUGCGGGGUGAGGGGGGGUUCGGCUGGGGUUUUUCCUGUUCCUUUUUUUUAUUUUCUUUUCUGUUUUCUUUUCCAAAAUAAACCUUUUUCAAGUAACAUUUUGAAUGCAAAUAAAUUCAAGCCAGAGGCAAACAAUACAAAAUGAGAUCUUUGGCAUGAAUGCAUAAACAAGUUUCUAAUCUUAUGUUAAAUUUUAAUUUUGACAAAAAAUAUUUUAUUUACUGGAUUAAAUGCUCACCAAAAAUGCUUAAUUAAAUCAAAUUAAUUCCUAUUGAUUGAAAACAAAUUUUUGGGUGUUACAAACUCUACCCCCUUAAAAGAAUCUCGUCCUCG
This 649-nucleotide long non-coding RNA is filed under the name Sorghum bicolor (sorghum). RNAcentral describes it as "long non-coding RNA (SBIC_LNC001161)". Lineage: Eukaryota; Viridiplantae; Streptophyta; Magnoliopsida; Poales; Poaceae. The record is from RNAcentral.